AACAUUCGAAUAUAAGACCCUAUGGAGGCUAUUCCUAUUCAAGCCACCACUGUGGUCAUUAUUCACUGUUGUCUUAGCCUUUGUUCUGUGCUGUGGAGGGAUACCAUGAUCAAAGCAACUCUUAUAAAGAAAGCAUUUAAUCGGGGAGUUGCUUACAGUUUCAGCUCUUAGGCCGUUAUCAUCAUGCCAGGGAGAAUGGUGACAGGAAAGCAUGGUGCUGGAGAAGUAGCUGAGAGAGAAGUAGAGAUGACACUGGGCCCUGACUUGGGCUUUUGAAACUUUUUUUUUUUUUUUUUUGACAAAGUCCCUCCAACAAGGCCACACCUCCAGAUCCUUGUAGUCCUUUCAAAUAACGCCACUUCCUGAUGAUAGGAACCUAUGGGGGGCCAUUCUUACUCAAACCACCACAAGUUUUAUGUUUGAAUCAUCUCAAGUUUGACUUGUGGGGUCUGCUUUGAGCUGGUGCCUGUGUGUUCUUACCUGUCUCCAACAACCCCGAACACUUCCUUGCUUUCUGUUACAAGAUAUUCCAGACUCAUCUUCACUCUCUUAAAGGAGGAAUAAAAGGGGGGCUCAGAGAGAAAAUGCUAGGCCUAUUCACAAUAUUGGAGGAGGGGGAAGGUUCAGAAAUUGUGUAUUUAAAAUCACAUGUUCUCAAGGAAGUAACUUGUGUUGCACAAGGAUAUUCUCAAGAUGUGUGGGAUGGAUCCUAAAGCCAGACGGCCUUAGCUGACUGACUGCACAUGAAGCUGUUGGUUAAUGGGCACAUCUGGAUAAUUACUUUGAACUUAGGUAAUUAGCUCCGUGUCUCGAGGAUAUUGUGUUCAUUGAGGAAGUUGUAAUGUGGAGAGAAGACUGGGUUUUAGAAGCAGGAAGGACCCGGCUUCCCUUACACACUGGAGCAGACUUUCCCUUGUGUCUGGGUAAUUCACUUUUCCUGGAUGAGCCCCAGCCUUCCAACCAUGAAAUGGGAAGAUCAUAUGCACCUCAUAAAUUUAAAUGGAGUCAUUUAAAGGCAGUGCUUAUGUAGUAGUUGUCGCAUAUUAAACACCCAAUAAAUGAAAGCUACCUUUACCGAGAGUGCCUCUGUUAACAUUGAAAUCCUAGAGGGUUGAAGUGUGUAGCUCCACCAUGAGACUUACCAAGUGUGAGUGGAGGUCUGUGGAUCUCUUCUAAUUAUUAUGGAAAUGCACAUGUGCUGGUGUGGGGGCUGGGGCCUGGGCUUCGGGUGUUCUCUCCAGUGCUGCACACAGGAUCAGCGACCAGGGGUAACUUAGAGAUCGUGUGCCUUUGCGGGGCCGAGAAGUGUGCAUGGAAAUCACAACUUCUCAGUGCUUUCAUUAGGAUUAGCAUGUGUGAGACCCUGGGUUCAUGACCUAGAAACCCAAAAUUUAAAAAACCCUGAGAAAACUCUGUGAUUCUAAGACUUGGGUGGCAAAAAGGUAGAAGAUUUGGACUUGGAAGGCUGCUGUCCAGCUUCAGGGACUUGAACAAGUCCUUGCCACAGUCAGGAACUGUAUGUUUUUGGUUUUGGUUAUCUUUACUUGUGUAUGUUAAGACUUCUUAUCCCUCUUAGGAGCACAUCCCACAGGUCCUUGUGCUCACAGAUGUCCAGGGAAAACAGGACGGUUAAGCGCACUGGAUUGUCUUUCCAAUGGGGAAGAUGUAAAACAAAACAAAGCAAAACAAGGUUAAAACAAACCUGUUCUUCUAUCCUAAGCUGGAAAAUUGGAAGUGAUUAAUAGCCUGGCAUUCUGCGAUCUCCGUUAUCUCUUGGGCCAGGCCACAUCAAGUUUCCAUAGCCAGGUCUGGAGGUGGCUAGUAACCUAGAUGACCCUUACCACCAGUAGGUCCCACAAGUAGGACUGGAGAUAACUAAGAGUCUAAAUGGCCGUUAAAUUAUCUGUAUAGCUACAAGCUCCCCCAAGCUCCGCCAAGCAGGACCAGAGGUGAGUAAUUGCCCAAAUGACCUCUCCGCUAUCUGUAUGAUGAAGACCAAGCCAGACUUUUCCUUAGGCCCUCAAGCUAGCACAGGUAGUCUAUCUUUGGAACCCAUCUUCUUGGAAGAAAUGACAUGUACCCUGAGGCGAAUUUCUUAUGCACGGGGGAUUGUAUUACACCAGAAAACUUCUUUUCCAAAUUGUACUGUGUUUUAAACUUGCUGAUAACGAACUGCCUGGCAUCAGACUCCUCACGGUCGUGAUCCAGGUUGAUGACGCGUCAGUCUGAACGGUUUUCAUGCUCACUGCUUUGCGCAUGCUCACUUCUUUGCCGCUUACUUCCUUGCCUGCCCCGACCACCUGAAGGGUCUUCUACAGAUCCCUCCUCUGCAAAUAUGUUGCAUCUCCGCUGAAUGCCGGGGACUUCCAUUCCCGUUGCUACGGAUAAAGGGCAAGCAUGAUCACACUCCUCCUCAACACAGGACCUAUCAGCAGUCCAUGAGAAGGCAAAUCAGGAGUCUGCUGCUCUAGCUUUCCCGACCUCCAUGCUUCUCCCGGGAGAUGGGCGUGUUGUUUAGGAACAAGACUCCAACAUUGCUCUGUUUUAUUUGUGAUCCCUGGACACCCUCCACCCCCCAAUAAAAGAACUCAAGGUCUUACCGAGGCCACAGGAAGAGCAUCAGAGAACUGGAGGCAUCCUUGCAGAAGCCAUCUUUGAUGUCCAGGUCAGUCAGACCUCCAAACCCAGCUGACACUGGACUGCAACCUCAUCAGAGAUUCAAGGCUAGAACCACCCAGUCCCAUCCCGUCCCCCCCACCCCCUGCCCCCAGCCAACCCAUCAGGCAAAGCGGCUGCUAAACCAUAAAGUUUGGGGGAAGAUCAUUACAUAAUAAUAGGUUAACAAAAGAAGCCCCAUACUGGAGACCCAGAGUUCUAGGGUAGCUGAUUCACUUGGCAGGUGGGUCUGGCCUGUUCUACCCCUUGGUUCCUGAACCAACUGCACAGCCAAAGAUUCGGUUUGGCUAAAUCGAACAACAGAAAACUCCAGACAGCAGAGCUUUAAACACGCCAGACGUUUCUUUCUCUCAAAGAAGUCCGGGUGAGCUGUCCAGGCUGGAACACUGGUCCAGCAUUCGAAGGACACUGUACAUGAUGUUGGCCUUGUGGAUCAAAAUGACACUUCAGGCAGCAGGGUGGAGGAAGGUUAUGAAGAAAACUAAAGAUGCUUUCUCCUGAGAUUGUUUAAAGCCGCCCUGUGUCACAGGGCUACAUUCCACUGGCCUGGGUGUCUCUCAUCAUGUCUACUUGAAACAGACCCUGCAAAAUGCUUGCUGUAGAUCCUGCCACUUGGUUAUGUGCACAUGAAGCAGGUCCUUGCAGAGACCAGAAGAAGGCAUCAAAGGAGCUGGAGUUACCCACAGUGGGAGCUGGGGGCAGAAACGCAGGUUCUGUUCAUAAGCAGUGAGGAUCCAGGAAUGAUGCCGAGCUUCAAGGAGUCCAGAAAAGAAAGGGGAUGGGACACUGUGUUGGCUGGUCUCAUGUCAACUUGACAUAGCUAAAGUUAUCUGAUAGGAGGGAACC
This is a long non-coding RNA of Mus musculus (house mouse), 3522 nucleotides long. RefSeq annotates it as predicted gene 13605. The transcript has 4 exons. The record is from RefSeq and is a predicted model, not a curated record. NCBI's taxonomy places the organism in Eukaryota, Metazoa, Chordata, Mammalia, Rodentia, Muridae.